Molecule: unclassified non-coding RNA, 209 nt
Filed under: Hevea brasiliensis (rubber tree)
Lineage: Eukaryota; Viridiplantae; Streptophyta; Magnoliopsida; Malpighiales; Euphorbiaceae
Source: RNAcentral
GCCGCAUCGUCCGAAAACUGCGGCGACUUUGACAACCGGCGUUACAUCGUCCUGAAUUUCUGGGCUAAGCUUUUCCGCAAUACCGUGGCUUGCUGAAGAGAAGGAAGCAAUCUUGACCAGCCCGCUCGCCUUAAAGAUCGCUCGCGAAUACGGAACACCGGCUCUCGUCGUCGAUAUGGACCGCGUGGAGCGCAACAUCGCGCGCGUUC